Molecule: ribosomal RNA, 476 nt
Filed under: uncultured Geobacillus sp.
Lineage: Bacteria; Bacillati; Bacillota; Bacilli; Caryophanales; Anoxybacillaceae
Description: bacterial SSU rRNA
Rfam family: Bacterial small subunit ribosomal RNA
Source: RNAcentral
GUCGGAGCGGACCGGAUCGGAGCUUGCUCUGAUUUGGUCGAGCGGCGGACGGGUGGAGUAACGACGUGGGCGAACCCUGCCCGACAAGACCGGGAUAACUCGGGAAACCGGAAGCUAAUACCGGAUAACACCGAAGACCGCAUGGUCUUCGGUUGAAAGGCGGCCUUUGGGCUGUCACUUGCGGAUGGGCCCGCGGCGCAUUAGCUAGUUGGUGAGGUAACGGCUCACCAAGGCGACGAUGCGUAGCCGGCCUGAGAGGGUGACCGGCCACACUGGGACUGAGACACGGCCCAGACUCCUACGGGAGGCAGCAGUAGGGAAUCUUCCGCAAUGGGCGAAAGCCUGACGGAGCGACGCCGCGUGAGCGAAGAAGGCCUUCGGGUCGUAAAAGCUCUGUUGUGAGGGGCGAAGGAGCGCCGUUCGAAGAGGGCGGCGCGGUGACGGUACCUCACGAGAAAGUCCCGGCUAACUACGUG